UUCGGGGCAGGGAGACAGGUGGUGCAUGGUUGUCGUCAGCUCGUGUCGUGAGAUGUUAGGUUAAGUCCUGCAACGAGCGCAACCCUUAUCAUUAGUUGCUACCAUUAAGUUGAGCACUCUAGUGAGACUGCCCGGGUUAACCGGGAGGAAGGUGGGGAUGACGUCAAAUCAUCAUGCCCCUUAUGUCCAGGGCAACACACGUGCUACAAUGGUGAGUACAGAGAGAUGCAAUACCGUGAGGUGGAGCCAAACUCUAAAACUCAUCCCAGUUCGGAUUGUAGGCUGAAACUCGCCUACAUGAAGCUGGAGUUGCUAGUAAUCGCGAAUCAGAAUGUCGCGGUGAAUACGUUCCCGGGCCUUGUACACACCGCCCGUCACACCAUGAGAG
Molecule: ribosomal RNA, 388 nt
Filed under: uncultured Clostridium sp.
Lineage: Bacteria; Bacillati; Bacillota; Clostridia; Eubacteriales; Clostridiaceae
Description: bacterial SSU rRNA
Rfam family: Bacterial small subunit ribosomal RNA
Source: RNAcentral